The sequence is a ribosomal RNA, 534 nucleotides long. It matches the Rfam family "Bacterial large subunit ribosomal RNA", at positions 1857 to 2606 of the family's 2925-position model.
GCCUGCCCAGUGACCAUGUGUUCAACGGCCGCGGUAUCCUGACCGCGCGAAGGUAGCGUAAUCACUUGUUUUUUAAAUAAAGACUAGUAUGAACGGCCGCACGAGGACCUAACUGUCUCCUUUGUCCAAUCAGUGAAACUGAUCUCCUCGUGCAGAAGCGAGGAUCUUAUCAUAAGACGAGAAGACCCUAUGGAGCUUUAAACUUUUAUUAAUUAUUUUCUUCACCCCUCUAAGGAGCCAACAACUAAUUUAAUUUUUUUAUAAAAGUUUUGGGUUGGGGCGACCAUGGAGGAAAAAAAAUCCUCCCUGAUGACACCUAACUAAGAGCCACAGCUCCAAGUAUUAAGACACUUAACUCCUAUUGACCCAUUUUAUGAUCAACGAACCAAGUUACCCUAGGGAUAACAGCGCAAUCCAUUUCAAGAGUCCUUAUCGACAAAUGGGUUUACGACCUCGAUGUUGGAUCAGGGCAUCCAAGUGGUGCAACCGCUACUAAAGGUUCGUUUGUUCAACGAUUAAAGCCCUACGUGAUCU